This 460-nucleotide ribosomal RNA is filed under the name uncultured bacterium. Its description in RNAcentral is "SSU rRNA". It matches the Rfam family "Bacterial small subunit ribosomal RNA", at positions 26 to 518 of the family's 1533-position model. The record is from RNAcentral.
AGAAUCAACGCUGGCGGCGUGCCUAACACAUGCAAGUCGCACGAGAAAGGGGAGCAAUCCCUGAGUACAGUGGCGCACGGGUGAGUAACACGUGAAUAAUCUACCUCCGAGUGGGGAAUAACUGAGAGAAAUCUUAGCUAAUACCGCAUAACACUUACGAGUCAAAGCAGCAAUGCGCUUGGAGAGGAGUUCGCGGCAGAUUAGUUAGUUGGCGGGGUAAUGGCCCACCAAGACGAUGAUCUGUAUCCGGCCUGAGAGGGCGCACGGACACACUGGAACUGAAACACGGUCCAGACUCCUACGGGAGGCAGCAGUGGGGAAUUUUGCGCAAUGGGGGAAACCCUGACGCAGCAACGCCGCGUGGAGGAUGAAGCCCCUUGGGGUGUAAACUCCUUUCGAUCGGGAAGAUAAUGACGGUACCGAUAUAAGAAGCCCCGGCUAACUUCGCGCCAGCAGCCGC